Molecule: ribosomal RNA, 301 nt
Filed under: uncultured bacterium
Lineage: Bacteria
Description: partial 16S ribosomal RNA
Rfam family: Bacterial small subunit ribosomal RNA
Source: RNAcentral
CAGUAGCCGCGGUAAUACGGAGGGAGCUAGCGUUGUUCGGAAUUACUGGGCGUAAAGCGCACGUAGGCGGCUUGGUAAGUUAGAGGUGAAAGCCCAGGGCUCAACCCUGGAAUUGCCUUUAAGACUGCCGAGCUAGUAGGUGAGAGAGGUGAGUGGAAUUCCGAGUGUAGAGGUGAAAUUCGUAGAUAUUCGGAAGAACACCAGUGGCGAAGGCGGCUCACUGGCUCAUUCUAGACGCUGAGGUGCGAAAGCGUGGGGAACAAACAGGAUUAGAUACCCCAGUAGUCCCUGUCUCUUAUAC